This is a long non-coding RNA of Lepidothrix coronata (blue-crowned manakin), 221 nucleotides long. RefSeq lists it as uncharacterized. The record is from RefSeq and is a predicted model, not a curated record. The transcript is spliced from 3 exons. NCBI's taxonomy places the organism in Eukaryota, Metazoa, Chordata, Aves, Passeriformes, Pipridae.
CAUCUCACAGGGUGCGCAUGGGGAACGGAAGGGGUGUUUUGCCCUGACACAGGAACAAGAGCAAGUUUUGAGGACCUGAAUAUAAGCUGUGGAAGCUGCCUCAAUGUAAGGAAAAGGAAAGAAGAAAAUCCCAAAAGUGACUGUUUCUUCUGUUGGAAGAAUUCCACUUGGAAAUGCCAACUUCCGGAACCAAUAAAAACGCUGUAAGAACUCCUGACAGG